Lineus longissimus is the source of this 320-nucleotide long non-coding RNA. RefSeq lists it as uncharacterized. The transcript has 3 exons. NCBI's taxonomy places the organism in Eukaryota, Metazoa, Nemertea, Pilidiophora, Heteronemertea, Lineidae. The record is from RefSeq and is a predicted model, not a curated record.
AAACUUUCGAUUUUUCGUUUAAAUUACGAAAUUAGUUCUUCUUUGGAUGGACAAAAGUUCAACCAUCGCUCAUAUGGUCCUACAGGUGAAACUGAAAGCUCCCACUGCCCAUGAGAAUACGCAAGAGAAUGGCAACUUCUUGAUGUUCUAUGCCCAGCACGUAUAUUCAGCAACCUGGGUGAUAAUUUUCUGCAGUCCAAGAAGUGUGUCUUGAACGGAACAGGUGAGGCUUCCCAAGAUGGUGAUGGAUUGGCAACUGGAGAAUGUUCGAGGCAUACGAUGGAGGGGACGAUGCCUUACUUGCUGGAUGGACGCCAUAG